UGCAGUCGAGCGCCCCGCAAGGGGAGCGGCAGACGGGUGAGUAACGCGUGGGAAUCUACCUAGCUCUACGGAAUAACCCAGGGAAACUUGGACUAAUACCGUAUACGUCCUUCGGGAGAAAGAUUUAUCGGAGUUGGAUGAGCCCGCGUUGGAUUAGCUAGUUGGUGGGGUAAUGGCCUACCAAGGCGACGAUCCAUAGCUGGUCUGAGAGGAUGAUCAGCCACACUGGGACUGAGACACGGCCCAGACUCCUACGGGAGGCAGCAGUGGGGAAUAUUGGACAAUGGGCGAAAGCCUGAUCCAGCCAUGCCGCGUGAGUGAUGAAGGCCCUAGGGUUGUAAAGCUCUUUCAACGGUGAAGAUAAUGACGGUAACCGUAGAAGAAGCCCCGGCUAACUUCGUGCCAGCAGCCGCGGUAAUACGAAGGGGGCUAGCGUUGUUCGGAAUUACUGGGCGUAAAGCGCACGUAGGCGGACUAUUAAGUCAGGGGUGAAAUCCCGGGGCUC
Molecule: ribosomal RNA, 505 nt
Filed under: uncultured bacterium
Lineage: Bacteria
Description: bacterial SSU rRNA
Rfam family: Bacterial small subunit ribosomal RNA
Source: RNAcentral